This 704-nucleotide ribosomal RNA is filed under the name bacterium enrichment culture. Its description in RNAcentral is "bacterial SSU rRNA". It matches the Rfam family "Bacterial small subunit ribosomal RNA", at positions 801 to 1518 of the family's 1533-position model. The record is from RNAcentral.
CUAAACGAUGAAUACUCGAUGUUGGCGAUAUACGGUCAGCGUCUAAGCGAAAGCGUUAAGUAUUCCACCUGGGGAGUACGCCCGCAAGGGUGAAACUCAAAGGAAUUGACGGGGGCCCGCACAAGCGGAGGAGCAUGUGGUUUAAUUCGAUGAUACGCGAGGAACCUUACCCGGGCUUGAAAGUUAGUGAAUGAGACAGAGACGUCUCAGUCCUUCGGGACACGAGACUAGGUGCUGCAUGGCUGUCGUCAGCUCGUGCCGUGAGGUGUUGGGUUAAGUCCCGCAACGAGCGCAACCCCUGUGAAUAGUUGCCAGCACGUAAUGGUGGGGACUCUAUUCAGACUGCCUAUGCAAAUAGAGAGGAAGGAGGGGACGACGUCAAGUCAUCAUGGCCCUUACGUCCGGGGCUACACACGUGCUACAAUGGAUGGUACAGCGGGCAGCUACCUGGCAACAGGAUGCCAAUCUCGUAAAGCCAUUCACAGUUCGGAUCGGGGUCUGCAACUCGACCCCGUGAAGUUGGAUUCGCUAGUAAUCGCGUAUCAGCAAUGACGCGGUGAAUACGUUCCCGGGCCUUGUACACACCGCCCGUCAAGCCAUGGAAGCUGGAAGUGCCUGAAGUGCGUAACCGUAAGGAGCGUCCUAGGGUAAAGUCGGUAACUGGGGCUAAGUCGUAACAAGGUAGCCGUACCGGAAGGUGUGGC